Molecule: ribosomal RNA, 441 nt
Filed under: uncultured bacterium
Lineage: Bacteria
Description: bacterial SSU rRNA
Rfam family: Bacterial small subunit ribosomal RNA
Source: RNAcentral
GUACGGGAGGCAGCAGUGGGGAAUUUUGCGCAAUGGGGGAAACCCUGACGCAGCAACGCCGCGUGGAGGAUGAAGUCCCUUGGGAUGUAAACUCCUUUCGAUCGGGACGAUUAUGACGGUACCGGAAGAAGAAGCACCGGCUAACUCUGUGCCAGCAGCCGCGGUAAUACAGAGGGUGCAAGCGUUGUUCGGAAUUAUUUGGCGUAAAGGGCGCGUAGGCGGUGCGGUAAGUCUGUGGUGAAAUCUCCGGGCUCAACUCGGAAAUUGCCGCGGAAACUGCCGUGCUCGAGUGUGGGAGAGGUGAGUGGAAUUCCCGAUGUAGCGGUGAAAUGCGUAGAUAUCGGGAGGAACACCUGUGGCGAAAGCGGCUCACUGGACCACAACUGACGCUGAUGCGCGAAAGCUAGGGGAGCAAACAGGAUUAGAAACCCUAGUAGUCCU